Non-coding RNA from Legionella londiniensis, 67 nucleotides. NCBI's taxonomy places the organism in Bacteria, Pseudomonadati, Pseudomonadota, Gammaproteobacteria, Legionellales, Legionellaceae. The record is from Rfam.
GUGGCUGGACGUUCAGUCGGGAAAUAGCUGUUCUGGAGUCGUUACCAUUCGGUAACCGAUCAUUUCA